This 253-nucleotide ribosomal RNA is filed under the name uncultured bacterium. RNAcentral describes it as "partial 16S ribosomal RNA". It matches the Rfam family "Bacterial small subunit ribosomal RNA", at positions 524 to 776 of the family's 1533-position model. The record is from RNAcentral.
UACGAGGGGAGCAAGCGUUGUUCGGAUUUACUGGGCGUAAAGGGCGCGUAGGCGGCGUGACAAGUCACUUGUGAAAUCUCCGGGCUUAACCCGGAAAGGUCAAGUGAAACUGUCGUGCUAGAGUACAGAAGGGGCAACUGGAAUUCUCGGUGUAGCGGUGAAAUUCGUAGAUAUCGGGAGGAACACCAGUGGCGAAGGCGGAGACUUGGGCCAAUACUGACGCUGAGGUGCGAAAGCGUGGGGAGCAAACAGG